UUAGAAUUACCAUCAAAUACGCUCUAAAUAAAAUCAACAUAAUUAUUAAAUGAUUCAUAUUUGAAUCACAUAAAUUAUCAUUACUUUAUCGUUACUUUUUACCUUGGCAUGAUAUGAACAUGACCUAUUUCCAAGGAUAUGGUAUAAAAAUUCACCAUUCUAAAAGUACUUGUAAAAUAUGUAUCAAUUUUCUCUAAAGUAGAAAACCUCAAGAUGACAUGAACAUGGCCCAUUCCGGGGAUAUGGUAUAUGAAUUCACCAUUCUAAAAGUACUUGUAAAAUAUUUAUCAAUUUUCUCUGAAGUAGAAAGUGAAGUUAAAGAAGCCUAGGAGUUUGCCAGAUAAGAAUAAUGGAGGAAGAGAAGCUGUGGAUGCAUUAUUGAUAUUGUUGAAUAUUGUGCCCUUAAAGAUUGAGAAGAACAGGGACAUUUUAGAGGAGUGGGGGCUUCAUGGGUUAGCGUGAAUAUGCUCUGCCACUUGAUAAAAUGGUAGUACCAUGACUAUCCCAGAAUUACUAGGAGUAUGACAUCUGACUGUGUUUUCUUGAUUGAAAAAUAGGCCAUUAAAUGUUAAAAUAAAUGAAUAAAAAGGGCAAAUCACUUCCCACCAUAGGUUGAGUCAACGUCUGAGUGUUCAUACAGCCUCAAAACCAAGUUGCAGGUAACGUACCAUAGAGUGAUAGGUGGAACAAAUCCAUCGACUGUGUGAAGAGGUUGCUGCUUUCUGAUCCUUUUCACCAACUCCAUCAAUAUCCAAUGCAAUUCAUCCUCUGUUUUGUUUCUUCUUUGUGGCAAAGGAUGUAUAAUCAGAAAACUAAGAGGAACACAAGCUUGGAUUUCCAGGGAGUCCCAUACAAUUUACAGAAAUCAAAAACUCCAAAAGAAAGUGAGGGAAGGGGAAGAGAAAUAGAAAGAAUCUCCAUUCACAACUUUGAAGCUCUCUUUCCCUGAUUCUUUCUUUUCUUCUACCCUUUUUUUCUUUUGGUUCUCCUCCUCCUGUUCUGAAAGUAAAUAAAAGGCUUUGUCCCAAGUUAAAUGUUACAUUGUACAUUAAAGAAUUAAUUAGGCGUGGACCUGGAUUUACACCAGAUGAUGGUCCAUGAAGGGUCCUUGCACUAGGUAGGACCUGGAAAACAGCUAGCUUCUUCAGGUGGCACCGAGGUCCAUGGGCGUGGCACAAGGGGCUAGAGAUUUUGCAGGUAGGUUCACACCAUCACCUCUGAUGGAUGCAGUAGGGCCUCUAACCGAGCUGGCUCUGCUCACAAGAUUUGAGUCAAGAAAUACAACUAUGACUGUGAUGUCAUCAUGGAAAUGCCGCCGGACACCACGAUCUAUCUUCUUCAAAUCUGAGUACCUCAUUUCUCUUUUCUUAGCUGCUUCCUGCAAGGCAGCUUUCACCAACCUCCGAGCACUUCCCUGCAUGAAGGAAAGAAUGUAAAAAUCACAUUUUCCAAUAUUUUUAGUUCAUCUCUAAGAUGGUGUUUGAUGCACGUCUUCAUCUAUAACCUGUAAGAGGUUCAAUUCACAUCCAUGAUUGAGUCCAAAUAAACAAAUGAUAGAGAUAAUGAUCAUAAGAAAUAGAAUCCAGUUUAUCAUAGCACAUGAUGGACAGAAAUCUGCAUUAAGUAAAGAAAUAGAUUCUAGGCAAACUACAAUGAAGGAGCAGAACUCAAGUUAUACCAAGGAACCAACACUGAUGAUCAAACAGAUGACCCAAAGUCAUGUCUCUUUCUACGCCUGUAAAUUAUAUCGUGACAACUAGACACUUAUCAAUACCAAGGUGAAGUUCCAUAAAGUCCAAUAGCUUAUAAUCCUAGAUUCUAAAUAGAAAUUAAAUCUUUCUUACUAGGCCAAUAUAGCUCCAAUUUCAAGUCUCAAGAAAUUCUUGGAUGUAAAAGAAUUACAAGUAAAACAAAGCUGGCAUUUACUGAUGAGAUAAAUAUGCCAUGCUCUACAAGUGCUUUAGAACCAAUCAACCUUAUCAACAGCUACUUGAUAGCUACUAAGAAUUCAUGGAUGCAGAAACCCACAUUUAACAAAAUUGAAAUGGCUAUCUAGUGCAGAGAUGGAUAUCUUACAUUUCGGGGGUGAUUUUGUACUAUAUCAACAGCUUCUUCAUUUUUAAGGUGCUCCCAUAGCCCAUCAGAAGCAAAUAUGAGAAAUUGAUCAUUGGGCUGGAGUUCAAGAACUGAAAUUGAAGGUUCAGCGCUUAAGAUUGGCCUUUUCAAAGGCUCCCGAAGUCGAAACUUGACAUACAAAGGCUCCCUGUUAAAUUCAGCCUUUUUGAGAUAUACAUCACCAAUAGAUCUAGAAAUCUGCAAUAUCAAAACUGAGACAGUAAGAAAAAACUGUCCACUAUGUCAAGAAAAAUCAAGUAAUUCCAUAUGGAAAACUACAUUACCACCCAACUUCAAGUAAAUCAAUUAUCAACAAAUUCUUCAAGGAAGCAUUACCAAAACAUCCACAUCAAAAUAUACAAUUUGUUAUGUUUGCCAUAUACUCGUCACAAUAGCAUAGAAGAAAUAAGAUAAAAAAACACAAAAAAUCAACCACAAGAAAAUAUGACCUCUUCUCCUUUGCCAUGCAUGUUGUCAAUUGUCAUCAGAUAAAAAUGAUUAAGAGAUUAAACACCCAAAAAAAAAAAAAAAA
Vitis vinifera (wine grape) is the source of this 2647-nucleotide long non-coding RNA. RefSeq lists it as uncharacterized. NCBI's taxonomy places the organism in Eukaryota, Viridiplantae, Streptophyta, Magnoliopsida, Vitales, Vitaceae. The record is from RefSeq and is a predicted model, not a curated record. The transcript is spliced from 2 exons.